Molecule: ribosomal RNA, 253 nt
Filed under: uncultured bacterium
Lineage: Bacteria
Description: partial 16S ribosomal RNA
Rfam family: Bacterial small subunit ribosomal RNA
Source: RNAcentral
UACGGAGGGUGCAAGCGUUAUCCGGAUUCACUGGGUUUAAAGGGUGCGUAGGUGGGCUGGUAAGUCAGUGGUGAAAUCCCCGAGCUUAACUUGGGAACUGCCAUUGAUACUAUCAGUCUUGAAUACUGUGGAGGUUAGCGGAAUAUGUCAUGUAGCGGUGAAAUGCUUAGAUAUGACAUAGAACACCAAUUGCGAAGGCAGCUGGCUACACAAUUAUUGACACUGAGGCACGAAAGCGUGGGGAGCAAACAGG